This 355-nucleotide ribosomal RNA is filed under the name uncultured bacterium. Its description in RNAcentral is "bacterial SSU rRNA". It matches the Rfam family "Bacterial small subunit ribosomal RNA", at positions 527 to 881 of the family's 1533-position model. The record is from RNAcentral.
GUAGGGUGCAAGCGUUGUCCGGAAUUACUGGGCGUAAAGAGUUCGUAGGCGGUUUGUCGCGUCGUUUGUGAAAACCAGCAGCUCAACUGCUGGCUUGCAGGCGAUACGGGCAGACUUGAGUACUGCAGGGGAGACUGGAAUUCCUGGUGUAGCGGUGAAAUGCGCAGAUAUCAGGAGGAACACCGGUGGCGAAGGCGGGUCUCUGGGCAGUAACUGACGCUGAGGAACGAAAGCGUGGGUAGCGAACAGGAUUAGAUACCCUGGUAGUCCACGCCGUAAACGAUGACUACUAGGUGUCGGGUGGCAAAGCCAUUCGGUGCCGCAGCAAACGCAAUAAGUAGUCCACCUGGGGAGU